AGUGAGCAUCUGAGCCACAGCAGAUUUGUGGGUAUCAUUGGCUUUUUCAGACAUCAAAAGCAAACUGUGUGAAAGAUGAUGGAGGUGCUCAGACAAGAAUGGGGAAUGAAAAUGAGCAAAUAGAAGAUCAUGCUCAAUAAAAACACAAAAUGAUAAUCAGAAUAAAUGAGACUAUCAGUGCACAAGUAGAAGAAAAUCAACUAGGAACAUCUGUUCAGAUUCUGAGAACUGACCCUGGAAGAAUCAAAUAGGAUCUUCUUCAGUGGAGUUACUGCAGGCACUUCUAGAUGUAGGGUGUGGCAACACGAGAAAUCAAUAGAAAACAGAAUCUUUGAAGUUGACAGCAUCUCUGAUGAAAUCUUCAAGGCUCCAAUGAGACAUCUUCUUAGACCACAAGAUCUUCAUAAUAUAGCUGCUGCUGCUGCUGCUAAGUCGCUUCAAUCGUGUCCAACUCUGUGAGACCCCAUGGACAGCAGCCCACCAGGCUCCCCCGUCCCUGGGAUUCUCCAGGCAAGAACACUGGAGUGGGUUGCCAUUUCCUUCUCCAAUACAUGAAAGUAAAAAGGGAA
RNAcentral lists this long non-coding RNA (569 nucleotides) under Bos indicus x Bos taurus (hybrid cattle). RNAcentral's name for it is "lncRNA (ENSBIXG00000022108.1)". The record is from RNAcentral. Lineage: Eukaryota; Metazoa; Chordata; Mammalia; Artiodactyla; Bovidae.